RNAcentral lists this ribosomal RNA (466 nucleotides) under uncultured bacterium. Its description in RNAcentral is "partial 16S ribosomal RNA". It matches the Rfam family "Bacterial small subunit ribosomal RNA", at positions 28 to 507 of the family's 1533-position model. The record is from RNAcentral.
GACGAACGCUGGCGGCGUGCUUAACACAUGCAAGUCGAACGGAAAGGCCCUGCUUGCAGGGUACUCGAGUGGCGAACGGGUGAGUAACACGUGGGUGAUCUGCCCUGCACUUCGGGAUAAGCUUGGGAAACUGGGUCUAAUACCGGAUAGGAGCCAUCUUUAGUGUGGUGGUUGGAAAGUUUUUUCGGUGUAGGAUGAGCUCGCGGCCUAUCAGCUUGUUGGUGGGGUAAUGGCCUACCAAGGCGGCGACGGGUAGCCGGCCUGAGAGGGUGUACGACCACAUUGGGACUGAGAUACGGCCCAGACUCCUACGGGAGGCAGCAGUGGGGAAUACUGCACAAUGGGCGCAAGCCUGAUGCAGCGACGCCGCGUGGGGGAUGAAGGCCUUCGGGUUGUAAACUCCUUUCGCUAGGGACGAAGCUUUUUUGUGACGGUACCUAGAUAAGAAGCACCGGCUAACUACGUG